AGUGAACGCUGGCGGUAGGCCUAACACAUGCAAGUCGAACGGCAGCACAGUAAUAGCUUGCUCUUACGGGUGGCGAGUGGCGGACGGGUGAGGAAUACAUCCGAAUCUACUUUUUCGUGGGGGAUCACGUAGGGAAACUUACGCUAAUACCGCAUACGACCUACGGGUGAAAGCAUGGGAUCUUCGGACCUUGCGCGAUUGAAUGAGCCGAUGUCGGAUUAGCUAGUUGGCGGGGUAAAGGCCCACCAAGGCGACGAUCCGUGGCUGGUCUGAGAGGCUGAUCGGCCACAUUGGAACUGAGACACGGUCCAGACUCCUACGGGAGGCAGCAGUGGGGAAUAUUGGACAAUGGGCGCAAGCCUGAUCCAGCCAUACCGCGUGGGUGAAGAAGGCCUUCGGGUUGUAAAGACCUUUUGUUGGGAAAGAAAAGCAGCAGGUUAAUACCCCGCUGUUCUGACGGUACCCAAAGAAUAAGCACCGGCUAACUUCGUG
RNAcentral lists this ribosomal RNA (492 nucleotides) under uncultured bacterium. RNAcentral's name for it is "partial 16S ribosomal RNA". It matches the Rfam family "Bacterial small subunit ribosomal RNA", at positions 29 to 507 of the family's 1533-position model. The record is from RNAcentral.